RNAcentral lists this ribosomal RNA (36 nucleotides) under Nicrophorus tomentosus. RNAcentral's name for it is "partial 5.8S ribosomal RNA". RNAcentral also lists the same sequence under 3 other names. Lineage: Eukaryota; Metazoa; Arthropoda; Insecta; Coleoptera; Silphidae. The record is from RNAcentral.
UGAUGAUGGUCCUGGACGGUGGAUCACUCGGCUCGU